GGUGAUAUAGCUCAGUGGUAGAGCUCAUGCUUAGCAUGCACGAGGUCCUGGUUUCAGUCCCCAGUACCUCCU
This 72-nucleotide transfer RNA is filed under the name Camelus bactrianus (Bactrian camel). It matches the Rfam family "tRNA". From Rfam's summary of the family: Transfer RNA (tRNA) molecules are approximately 80 nucleotides in length. Their secondary structure includes four short double-helical elements and three loops (D, anti-codon, and T loops). RNAcentral also lists the same sequence under 2 other names. The record is from Rfam by way of RNAcentral. Lineage: Eukaryota; Metazoa; Chordata; Mammalia; Artiodactyla; Camelidae.